This 1421-nucleotide ribosomal RNA is filed under the name Spilarctia alba. RNAcentral describes it as "16S ribosomal RNA". Lineage: Eukaryota; Metazoa; Arthropoda; Insecta; Lepidoptera; Erebidae. The record is from RNAcentral.
GUGAAUAAAUUAAUAAAAAAAAAAUAAUAAAAAAAUUUUUAAAUUUGAUUAUAUUAAAAUAUUUUAAUGGGGGUUAAAGUAUAUUUGAUAGAAAAAAUUAAUAAUUUUAUAAAGAAUUAGUAUUGUGAAAAAAUUUUGAAAUAAGAAUGAAAAUAAAAUUAUUAAAAAGUAAUUUUAAUUUAGUGUAUCUUGUGUAUCAGAGUUUAUUAAAUAAAUUUUUAGUAAUAAAUAAUUCUCGAAUUUAAAAGAGAUAAUUAAUUAUAAAAGUUAUUGUAGCAUAAAUAUUUUUAAUAAUUAAUUUGAAAUGAAAUGUUAUUCGUUUUUAAAGAUAUCUAGUUUUUUUAGAAAAAAAUUUAAUUUUAAAUUUAUUUAAUAUUAAAUUAAUUAAUUAAUUAUAAAUAUUAUGUAAAUUUUAUAUUUUAAGGGAUAAGCUUUAAAAUAAAUUUAAUAUAAUUAAUAAAUUUAUUAUAAAUUUGAAAAUUAUAUAAUUUAUAUUGUUAAUAAAUUAUAAUUUAUUAUAAAUAAUUUUAAAUUAAAUAAAAUUUAAUUUUAAUUUAUUUUUUUUUUAUAAAAAAAAAUUUUUUAAUUAUAUAAGAUUAGUUAUAAUGAUAAAAUUAGUAUAUAUUAUAUUUAAUUUUUAAGAUAUAAUAUUAAUUAUUUUAAAGGAAUUCGGCAAAAAUUAUACUCACUUGUUUAUCAAAAACAUGUCUUUUUGUAAAUAAUAUAAAGUCUAAUCUGCCCACUGAUUUUAAUUAAAGGGCUGCAGUAUAUUGACUGUACAAAGGUAGCAUAAUCAUUAGUCAUUUAAUUGAUGACUUGUAUGAAAGAUUGGAUGAAGUAUAAACUGUCUCUAAGAUAUAUAAUAAAAUUUAAUUUUUAAAUUAAAAAGUUUAAAUAAAUUAAAAAGACGAGAAGACCCUAUAGAGUUUUAUUUAUUAAUUUAUUAUAAUUAUUUUUAAAUUUAAAAUUUUUAAUUUAUUAAUAAAUUUUAUUGGGGUGAUAAAAAAAUAUAUUUAACUUUUUUUUAUAUGUAUUAUAUAUAUAUAUAUAUAUAUAUAAUUUUAUAUAAACAUGAAUAAGUGAAUAAUUGAUCCAAUUUUAUUGAUUAUAAGAAAAAGUUACCUUAGGGAUAACAGCGUAAUUUAUUUUUUUAGUUCACAUAAAAAAAUGAGUUUGCGACCUCGAUGUUGGAUUAAGAUAAAAAUUAAAUGCAAAAGUUUAAAUUUUUGAUCUGUUCGAUCAUUAAAAUCUUACAUGAUCUGAGUUCAGACCGGUGUAAGCCAGGUUGGUUUCUAUCUUUUAAAUUAAAUAAUAUUUUAGUACGAAAGGAUCAAAUAUUAAAAUUAAAUUUAUUAUUUGAAUUUUAGUAAUUAUAUAUAUAUAUAUAUAUAUAUAUAAAUAAAUUAAUACUAAUUUAGGAA